RNAcentral lists this ribosomal RNA (274 nucleotides) under uncultured bacterium. Its description in RNAcentral is "partial 16S ribosomal RNA". It matches the Rfam family "Bacterial small subunit ribosomal RNA", at positions 523 to 796 of the family's 1533-position model. The record is from RNAcentral.
AUACGGAGGGUGCAAGCGUUAAGCGGAAUUACUGGGCGUAAAGCGCGCGUAGGCGGCUUUGUAAGUCGGAUGUGAAAGCCCCGGGCUCAACCUGGGAAUUGCAUUCGAUACUGCAGAGCUAGAGUAUGGUAGAGGGAAGUGGAAUUUCCGGUGUAGCGGUGAAAUGCGUAGAUAUCGGAAGGAACACCAGUGGCGAAGGCGACUUCCUGGGCCAAUACUGACGCUGAGGUGCGAAAGCGUGGGGAACAAACAGGAUUAGAAACCCCAGUAGUCC